RNA transcript from Pomacea canaliculata, 2222 nucleotides. RefSeq lists it as uncharacterized. The transcript is spliced from 5 exons. Lineage: Eukaryota; Metazoa; Mollusca; Gastropoda; Architaenioglossa; Ampullariidae. The record is from RefSeq and is a predicted model, not a curated record.
AUUCAUAGUACAGAGUGAUUUUUUGGCCUUGGUGGUCUGCCAUAUUUUGUAAUUAAGUUAAGUGGUCCACGGGCCGAAAUACUUUGAGAACCACUGUCUUAAGGCAUUCCAAAACCAUAGCAAGCUAGUGUGUAGCACGUUGGUGCAGUUGUCAGGGAAGGUGGUAGACAAGAAGAAUAGGGGAAAGGAUAGGAAUGGUCCCGUGACCUGUUAUAGGUGUGGCGAGGAGGACACAUGUCCCGGGCUCACAAUGAAAACGCGAAAGGCAUUUCGGAGAGAGUCCCGAACUUGACCCUUAGAGGAGGGACACGUGUCGGCAUAAAACUUGCAGACACAGACCAGAGGAAUGUGUUCGUACUCGCAAGCAAGAAAGAGAAAGGCAUAGGGGUCCCUGGAUGUCUGCUUGAGGUAGAGAAAGAAGAUUUGUUCGUCCCUGUUACAAGCAUUAAAGAAGACUUGGUCUGCUAACGUUGAGGAGGGAAAAGUGUGUCAAGCCUGUUCGAAGGGCUGGGCAGUCAGGUGUUGGCGAACGCAGAACCAACCACGAGUGGAACGCACACGCUAGAAAAGGAGUAAAUUACGGGAUGACGUCACAGCCAAAAGAAGUGACGGUGUCGUCUCACAGUACAGACAGUGUGUACGUCACACGGCGCGGUAUCUCCCGCAAACAGAAUGAAGAGAAUCUUGUGAGUUAUACAUUGCUACCUGGCCGUAUACAGACAACAUUCGGACUGCUGAGAUCGUCUUUACGUUCAGAAACACGUAUGGCGUAGUAAGAGGAUUGAAGAAAGAUGUUCUGUGCAAACUGCGGGUGUGCCCAAUCAAUCUGGGGGGUGACGGCGCCAGUAGUGUGGAACUGCUUAUUACACUGGGGGGCCUGAUACGCUACGACACAACGAAAACGGACAUUCUCGCAGGUGUCGGUCGACAGGGCGGCUCAUUGUGGCACUGUAAUUCUUCUUCUCACUUCUUAUCUACUGUUGUACAUUAAAAAAACAGCUACAGAAGAUAGAGUUUAUGCUCCUGCAACCAAAGUAAUAUCUUUAAUCCUUCACACACGUGCUUUGGCUCUAGCUAGGUUUUAAACCUCAAACAAUGAAACUGUUGUUGUGUGAAACACAAUGCUUUCUCAACCAGGAGCCUGUUGGAUGUAGCCUUGGUAUUUGACAUUCAAGACAGCACCGCAUCUUGGUGCCAACAAAGUCCGUGAGGACGCUUGGGUCAAAGGUGGAGCGAACUGUAGGCUACAUUUGAGACAAAGCUCUGUGACUAUUGUUUUCUACUGACCAGUGGUGUGUGUGUGCUUCAGUGCAUGCGAAUGUGCGUUCUGGUCAUUAUUCCAUUUAGCCCUAUUUUAAUUUUUUAAGGCUUUAAUGAGAUCACAUAUUCUGUAUUUUUCGAAUAAAAUCUUUUUUAACGUUUUUUUCUUUCACAUUGACUUUUUGUGUUUGAGACUGUUAGUCUAUAAAAUGUCAGAGUUGAAAAUACACUGUAUGUAGAUUUUAAAAAAUAAUAUUAUUGCUAUUACUAACGUUAUUGAUGUUGAGAAUUUUACUAGUAGCUAAUUCAAUCCUUUACUGAUCAAGUAAUCAAAAAAGUGAUUUAUUUACCAAAUUUCAGUAUGACAAUAAAUGUUUGUUAUCUUUGAAUAUUCUCGAGUGGAGAAGUUAGGAUGGUAAGAAAUUAAUUGACGUGGGAGCAAGUCUUGAUUAACAUUUCAUCAGUAAACAUAUACAACAAAACGUAUUACAACAGGAUCAUCAACCGAUUCUUGACUUUAUGAAGCAGUUCAUGAGUCAUUGGCCUCUCUAUAGCAUACUGUCAUUGGUCUUAGAAAGCAUGCUAAGUGUCACUGGAAUCUAUAAAGCAUGUGUUACUUUUGUUUAUAUGGAAUGAAAGACAUUACUUUUGCUGAACAUUAUUGUUUCAUUCUUUGUUGCAGAGAAUAAGAAAUUCUUAGAUACUGAUGUAAAUAUUUUAGUCAUCUAGAGUAAUUUGUCCUCUAGCAGGGAUAUGGUCUUUAUUUGCAACAAGAAAAACAUAUUGCAGUUAUCGUGGCAUCAAUUUCAAUAAAUCAAAAGCAUCAGGAAGCCAAAAAACAUUCGAUCCAAAAAGUUUACUUUUAUUAGGUCUAUGUGAAGCUAAUCGCUUUGUAAACAAUGAAAUGCUAGGAGAAAUGCUCGCUCCAGCCAGAGAAUCAAUCAUUACAACUAGCUGGAAUA